Molecule: long non-coding RNA, 3788 nt
Filed under: Podarcis lilfordi (Lilford's wall lizard)
Lineage: Eukaryota; Metazoa; Chordata; Lepidosauria; Squamata; Lacertidae
Source: RNAcentral
AGUCAUAUAGUUGUUUAUUUCUUUGACAAUUGAAGGGAAUGUGUUCCACAGGGUGGGCACCACUACUGAGAAGGCACUCUGCCUGGUUCCUUGUAGCUUUGCUUCUCGCAGUGAGGGAACCACCAGAAGGCCCUCGACACUGGACUUCAGUGUCCGGGCUGAACAAUGGGGGUGGAGAGGCUCCUUCAGGUAUACUGGGCCGAGGCUGUUUAGGAUUUUAAAGAUCAGCACCAUCACUUUGAAUUGUGUUCGGAGAUGUACUGGGAGCUAGUGAAGAUACUUUACAACCAGUGUUAUACGGCCCUGGCAGCCACUCCCAGUUACCAGUCUAGCUGCCACAUUCUGGAUUAGUUGUAGUUUGCGAGUCAGCUUCAAAGGUAGCCCCACAUAGAGCACAUUGUAGUAGUCCAAGCAAGAGAUAACCAGGGCAUGCACCACUCUGGCAAGACAGUUGUGGGCAGGUAGGGUCUCAGCCUGUGUACAGAGGGAGCUGGAAAACAGCUGCCCUGGACACAGAAUUGACCCGCGCCCCCAUGGACAGCUAUGAGUCCAAAAUGACUCCCAGGCUGUGUACCUGGUCUUUCAGGGGCACGGUUACUCUGUUCAGGACCAGGGAGUUCCCCACACCUUCCCGCCCCCUGUCCCCCCAAAACAGUACUUCUGUCUUGUCAGGAUUCAAUCUCAAUCUGUCAUUCGCCAGCCAUCCACCAACUGCCUUCCAGACACACAAACAAAAUCAAAACAGCAACAGUAUAAUUGAAACAAAAAGACAACAUAAAGCCAGCAAAACAGUAGUAUAAAAGUUCAUGAAAACAACUAAAAACUGGAGUUCAUAUAAAAAAUGUCUGUUCCUAUGGGUCAUGGAAAGCCUGGAUAAAGUAUUUACAAGACAUCUGAAGUAACCGAUGUUUGCUGCUUCGUGUAUGAAAUAUUAUUUGAGAAAGCUAUUCAACCAAUCAGUCACUGACUGCACUAACUACCAAACAUUUACCACCUGUGCGAGAAAGAUCUGAUCUUAAAUUCUUGAGAUAUGUCUGCAUAUCAAGCUAUAGGAGGGGGGAAAUGGGACUUAUGGGCUGUCCAGUGUUCUGCUAAAAAACCUGCUUUAUCAGGUUCCUCCCUCUGUUGUCAACUUGGAGCAUCCAUUCCAUCAGGCGAUAGCAGAGGCAGGAUCUUUCCAUCAGCUUAGCUGAGAGACUAGCAACUUUUGGCCCCUCCUCUUCUUGAGUUCCUUCCAUUUCUAACUCAGUGUUACAGGAAUCCUGUAAGUAAGAACUGCUAUUCCCUCUUAGCCUCCCAGAUAGGUUUUUUUUGUUGUUGUCACGACUUUCAAUAUUGUACACUUGAGUGCAGGGACUGGCUUCUUAUUGAUAUAGUGGUACCUCGGGUUACAUACGCUUCAGGUUACACACUCCGCUAACCCAGAAAUAGUGCUUCAGGUUAAGAACUUUGCUUCAGGAUGAGAACAGAAAUCGUGCUCCAGCAGCGCGGCGGCAGUGGGAGGCCCCAUUAGCUAAAGUGGUGCUUCAGGUUAAGAACAGUUUCAGGCUAAGAACGGACCUCCGGAAUGAAUUAAGUACUUAACCCGAGGUACCACUGUAUUUGUAAGCUGCUCUGCAAACCCUUUUUUUGGCUGAUGAGCAGAGUAAAAAUACUUUAAAACAAUCAAACGUGUGUUAGGACAUGCCGAUCAUUGGAACGAAGUAUUGUCACGUGUCAGAAGGUUCGUAGUUUCGAACAAUUGUCUGUUUUGUCUUUGAUAUUUAAUUUGUGCUGUUACCUGUGGAAGCAGGCUUAAUAUAACACCCUAUCCGCUAGUCCUGUUUGCUACAUGCUUGCAGCCUAAUUUCCGUUAUAUUCCCUGUGUUAUAUAGAAAUACUUAAUGUCAGGAAGGCAGUAUUUACUGAAAUACACAAGUUCAGAAUUCAUCAUGAUUCUGUGUGAAAUCCACUCGCCCUUUGCUCCCCACCCCCCUCCUGAAUUGGAAUGAAAUGUGCCUUAAACUGUAGUGAAAUACAUCACAUGCAGCAACAGUGGGGCCUUGCUUCGCCUCUAUUCCUGGUGUGAAAUCGAUACACUAUCUUUCCUCCUGACCUGUUCUGUGACCUCCAUUGCAGCUUUCAUGCUGAACAGCAAUUGCUUUGAACAGCCUGGGUCUGCCAAGGCUCACAAAUGAUUCCCCGCUUUUGUCUAAAACUGAUGCUGAUAACAAAGGAAUGAUUUUAAAUAAUGCAGUUGUAGUCGUUUUCUAAUUAUGAAUUACAUGAAAGUGCAUGCUCUUCUAUUAUUAAACCGUUUCAACAGCAGAUACAGUGGGUAUAUAAGCGAAAUUGCUUCAUACUGGGACAACGCAGGAUUUCUGUCCUGAAAUUUUUUUCUGCUAAAGUUUACGUUGCUUGUGGAAAACAGCAGGUGUAAUAAUAAAGCAUAUUGUGGGGGGUAGUUAAGUGGAAUUUUAUAUUCCUGUUGAAUUUUGUAAACCCUGAAAUGUAAUUUUCACACCACUGCCAGAGAAGAAAAGUAGGUUGGACACAAUUUAAUUUCCCAGGUUUCCUAACCACAGUCUUAAACUAAAUCAAAGUUAAAAAUGGGCACUGAAAAUAGUCAACUAUUUCUGUAAAUUUGAACUUACAUAUACAGAGUAUAUGUAAAUAGUAGUAUUUUAAAAUAUUUUAGACAUUUACCUUAAGAUGUGGGGGAAUUAUUGAAGUUAUAAUUGGCAUUUACACUUGCAUCAAGAAAUCCAUUGUUCAAUUAGGUAGAUUAGGCUAAUAGCUGUUACUGGCUUUGAAAUUGAGAAACUGUCUGGUGUUAUGCUGAAGUUAUUAUUGCUUACAAAAUGUAUUGGUAAGGAAUAAAAUGCAGAAGGACAGUUUUAAAUAUCUGUCUUUUGAGACUUUUCACACCUGCGAUUAAAAAAAAUGAAUACAUCAAUAAAUAUUGCUGAAACUAUGAGUUGCUUAAAAAGCAUUUUUAACAACACAGCAUAACUAAUCGAAAUUACAUGGAAUAAUACUAGCUUACUUUUACAUUUCAUUUAUGGUGUGAUGUACACGGAAAUUGUCUUUUCUGUCAAACAGCAAGACGAAUAUUGCUUCUGACAAACUCCACUAUAAUAACUACUAUAUAAAACCCACACCCCUCUGUUUCUUUCAUUCAUUCCAGCUGUUAUCAGCAUAGCUUCAUUUCUGAUGCACUAGAGAACUUUUUUUUUUUUUUAAGGUCUGGUAACAAGUGAUUUUCCAUAAUGUAAAGAAACUUGUGUGUGGUUGUGAAUCACUGAUGUGACUAAGGGAGAACUGUUGUAUUCCAGUAUUAUAUUUAAUAGUAAACAUAACUCGUUUGAAGAUUUCUUAUUGUUUAUUUCCAGUCACAUUUAUAUUAGUUUAUGUGACGGCUGCCAUGUUUCCUUCCCCAAAUAACCCUGGAAUGAUGGUCCAAGCCAUUUUGAGAUCAAAAUAUUGAGUGGGGGACAGGCCUCCUAAAGGGGAACUGUGCUGCCGCUGCUGCUGGCACUCUGUGUGGUAGCAGCAAAAUAAGGUUCUGUUAAUCUCACAUUUCUUGAUUGUAACCAUUGGUCAUCACUGUUUAAAACAAGGGAACUGGGCAUGAUACAUCAAUUAAGCAUAAGUAGAUAAAAGCCAGAUGAAUUAAAUAUGUCAGCAUACCCAAUGAAAAAAAUAACUACUAUCUUCAGAUCAACCAGUUAUGUACUGUACCUAGAUUUAAAAUCCUUUCUUUAAAUCAAGAAGAUAAGUAACUAUUAACCAUAACAAAUAAAACUUAC